GUCCCUAUAGCUCAAUGGAUAGAGCACGGGCCUUCUAAGCCUGGGAUGGAGGUUCGACUCCCCCUAGGGACA
Candidatus Wildermuthbacteria bacterium is the source of this 72-nucleotide non-coding RNA. NCBI's taxonomy places the organism in Bacteria, Candidatus Wildermuthiibacteriota. The record is from Rfam.